UACGUAAGGUGCAGGCGUUAAUCGGAAUUACUGGACGUAAAGCGUGCGCAGGCGGUCUGCUAAGAGAGAUGUGAAAUCCCCGGGCUUAACCUGGGAACUGCGUUUCUAACUGGCAGGCUAGAGUGUGGCAGAGGGGGUGGAAUUCCACGUGUAGCAGUGAAAUGCGUAGAGAUGUGGAGGAACACCGAUGGCGAAGGCAGCCCCCUGGGUCAAGAUUGACGCUCAUGCCACGAAAGCGUGGGGAGCAAACGAGG
RNAcentral lists this ribosomal RNA (254 nucleotides) under uncultured bacterium. RNAcentral describes it as "partial 16S ribosomal RNA". It matches the Rfam family "Bacterial small subunit ribosomal RNA", at positions 524 to 777 of the family's 1533-position model. The record is from RNAcentral.